This 440-nucleotide ribosomal RNA is filed under the name uncultured bacterium. Its description in RNAcentral is "bacterial SSU rRNA". It matches the Rfam family "Bacterial small subunit ribosomal RNA", at positions 338 to 775 of the family's 1533-position model. The record is from RNAcentral.
CCUACGGGUGGCAGCAGUGAGGAAUAUUGGUCAAUGGGCGAGAGCCUGAACCAGCCAAGUAGCGUGAAGGAUGACUGCCCUAUGGGUUGUAAACUUCUUUUAUAAAGGAAUAAAGUCGGGUAUGCAUACCCGUUUGCAUGUACUUUAUGAAUAAGGAUCGGCUAACUCCGUGCCAGCAGCCGCGGUAAUACGGAGGAUCCGAGCGUUAUCCGGAUUUAUUGGGUUUAAAGGGAGCGUAGAUGGAUGUUUAAGUCAGUUGUGAAAGUUUGCGGCUCAACCGUAAAAUUGCAGUUGAUACUGGAUGUCUUGAGUUCAGUUGAGGCAGGCGGAAUUCGUGGUGUAGCGGUGAAAUGCUUAGAUAUCACGAAGAACUCCGAUUGCGAAGGCAGCCUGCUAAUCUGCGACUGACAUUGAGGCUCGAAAGUGUGGGUAUCAAACAG